Molecule: ribosomal RNA, 253 nt
Filed under: uncultured bacterium
Lineage: Bacteria
Description: partial 16S ribosomal RNA
Rfam family: Bacterial small subunit ribosomal RNA
Source: RNAcentral
UACAGGGGGGGCAAGCGUUGUUCGGAAUUACUGGGCGUAAAGGGCUCGUAGGUGGCCAACUAAGUCAGACGUGAAAUCCCUCAGCUUAACUGGGGAACUGCGUCUGAUACUGGAUGGCUUGAGUUUGGGAGAGGGAUGCGGAAUUCCAGGUGUAGCGGUGAAAUGCGUAGAUAUCUGGAGGAACACCGGUGGCGAAGGCGGGUCUCUGGGCAAUUCCUGACGCUGAGGCGCGAAAGCGUGGGGAGCAAACGGG